This 351-nucleotide ribosomal RNA is filed under the name uncultured Gammaproteobacteria bacterium. RNAcentral's name for it is "bacterial SSU rRNA". It matches the Rfam family "Bacterial small subunit ribosomal RNA", at positions 97 to 436 of the family's 1533-position model. Lineage: Bacteria; Pseudomonadati; Pseudomonadota; Gammaproteobacteria. The record is from RNAcentral.
GGAGAGCGGGUGAGUAAUACAUCGCUACGUACCUCAUCGAGGGGGAUAACUACAGGAAACCGUAACGGUAAUACCGCAUAUACGUCCUGAUCGGACCAAACAGGGGGACCGUCCGCCCUCACGCACAUCAGAUAGGAAAUAUGUAUUGGAUUAGCUAGCAUGGUGGGGUAAUGACCUCACCUAGGCAGACGAUCACUAGCUAGUCUGAGAGGACGACCAGCCACACUGGCACUGAGUACACAGUCCAGACUCCUACGGGAGGCAGCAGUGGGGAAUAUUGCACAAUCGGGAGCAAGCCUGAUGCAGCCAUGCCGCGUGUGUGAAGAAGGCCUUCGGGUUGUAAAGCACUUU